AGAGUUUGAUCCUGGCUCAGGAUGAACGCUGGCGGCGUGCCUAACACAUGCAAGUCGAACGAAGCAAUUGAAGGAAGUUUUCGGAUGGAAUUCGAUUGACUGAGUGGCGGACGGGUGAGUAACGCGUGGAUAACCUGCCUCACACUGGGGGAUAACAGUUAGAAAUGACUGCUAAUACCGCAUAAGCGCACAGUACCGCAUGGUACAGUGUGAAAAACUCCGGUGGUGUGAGAUGGAUCCGCGUCUGAUUAGCCAGUUGGCGGGGUAACGGCCCACCAAAGCGACGAUCAGUAGCCGACCUGAGAGGGUGACCGGCCACAUUGGGACUGAGACACGGCCCAAACUCCUACGGGAGGCAGCAGUGGGGAAUAUUGCACAAUGGGCGAAAGCCUGAUGCAGCGACGCCGCGUGAGUGAAGAAGUAUUUCGGUAUGUAAAGCUCUAUCAGCAGGGAAGAAAAUGACGGUACCUGACUAAGAAGCCCCGGCUAACUACGUGCCAGCAGCCGCGGUAAUACGUAGGGGGCAAGCGUUAUCCGGAUUUACUGGGUGUAAAGGGAGCGUAGACGGCGAAGCAAGUCUGAAGUGAAAACCCAGGGCUCAACCCUGGGACUGCUUUGGAAACUGUUUUGCUAGAGUGUCGGAGAGGUAAGUGGAAUUCCUAGUGUAGCGGUGAAAUGCGUAGAUAUUAGGAGGAACACCAGUGGCGAAGGCGGCUUGCUGGACGAUGACUGACGCUGAGGCUCGAAAGCGUGGGGAGCAAACAGGAUUAGAUACCCUGGUAGUCCACGCCGUAAACGA
RNAcentral lists this ribosomal RNA (799 nucleotides) under uncultured bacterium. RNAcentral's name for it is "bacterial SSU rRNA". It matches the Rfam family "Bacterial small subunit ribosomal RNA", at positions 8 to 809 of the family's 1533-position model. The record is from RNAcentral.